AAACCAGCACCUCAAGUGGUCAGGAUGAUUAUUGGGCCUAAAGCAUCCGUAGCCUGCUUUGUCAGUUUUCGGUUAAAUCCAUACGCUCAACGUAUGGGCCGCCGGAAAUACUGCAAAGCUAGGGAGUGGGAGAGGUAGACGGUACUCGGGAGGAAGGGGUAAAAUCCUUUGAUCUCUCGAUGACCACCUGUGGCGAAGGCGGUCUACCAGAACACGUCCGACGGUGAGGGAUGAAAGCUGGGGGAGCAAACCGGAUUAGAAACCCGGGUAGUCC
Molecule: ribosomal RNA, 274 nt
Filed under: uncultured bacterium
Lineage: Bacteria
Description: partial 16S ribosomal RNA
Rfam family: Archaeal small subunit ribosomal RNA
Source: RNAcentral